Molecule: long non-coding RNA, 356 nt
Organism: Aedes aegypti (yellow fever mosquito)
Lineage: Eukaryota; Metazoa; Arthropoda; Insecta; Diptera; Culicidae
Exons: 2
Source: RefSeq, a predicted model, not a curated record
ACAAAAGUCAUGUGUGCAAUCCGAUGCAUGUUAUGUGAUUUGCCGAUGUGAAAAUUCGUUCUUAUUAUCCCUUAUUUUAUUCGCAUUUUCGUGAUAACGAGUUUCAUAAUUUCAGUUUGGUGCAUUUAAAUCGCUUUAAAUUAUAAGCAACAUGAAUUGGAAUUAUAACGUCAAGGUGAAAGAAGGGAAACAUCACUAUGAUUGUAAGCUGAAGAUUACGGAACAACGACGAAAGGAAAAAAAUGCUCAGAACACCCAGCAGUAUUCAGAAUCGUACAGAAUGUGUUGUUUCAAGUUAAAAUUAUACCAAUUAAUGUGAUCGGCUAUUCAUUGUAAUAAACAGUUAAUUAGAUAAA